GUAAAAUCAUUUGCAGAAUGAGAGAAAGGACACUUACAAAGAUUCUAUGAUUCUUCAGCCACCGCAAAAGAAAGGCUUCUGUACAGUGUUGCUCUUCCCUCGUGCUCUGUGUUAAAAGGAAGGAGGGAGGAGGUGAAGAGCCAGGCGGUCAUGGAGAGAUAAAAAAUGGAUGGUGGAGGGAGAAAGUCAGAGGGCAAAGAUGAAGAAGGCAGCAGCAUAAUGAAGGUGAAGAGCUGUGUAGACUUUUUUUUAAGAUCAUACAGAGAUAUCAUGGCACAACCACCUAGAAGCAACGCCUUCUCAUGGAGAAAUCUUGCCUGUUGACCCUAGUAGGAGUCCAGAGCGGCAAAUGAUUUUGUACAAUACACGAACCAGGAAGAACCGGAUCAAGUUUCUUUGCCAGCAUAUAAAUGGAUAUGAUUUCUUUAAGUGGGUCUUUCCCCUCUUUUCUGCUUUAUCCACACCCAACCCCCCCCAAAAAGGGUAAUAAUAAGCACAAGUAAAAUAAGCAGUAUACUGAAAAUGGUAAAUGAAAAUAUCCUGGCUUUAAAAGUUGAAUUCCAUAAAUGGAACACCAACCAAUAUGAGUAUUUUAAAUUAUUUUUGAGUAUUUAAGUUUGUUAAUG
Long non-coding RNA from Rhineura floridana, 626 nucleotides. RefSeq lists it as uncharacterized. The record is from RefSeq and is a predicted model, not a curated record. The transcript is spliced from 4 exons. Lineage: Eukaryota; Metazoa; Chordata; Lepidosauria; Squamata; Rhineuridae.